AAAUUGAAGAGUUUGAUCAUGGCUCAGAUUGAACGCUGGCGGCAGGCCUAACACAUGCAAGUCGAGCGGUAGCACAGAGAGCUUGCUCUCGGGUGACGAGCGGCGGACGGGUGAGUAAUGUCUGGGAAACUGCCUGAUGGAGGGGGAUAACUACUGGAAACGGUAGCUAAUACCGCAUAAUGUCGCAAGACCAAAGUGGGGGACCUUCGGGCCUCAUGCCAUCAGAUGUGCCCAGAUGGGAUUAGCUAGUAGGUGGGGUAACGGCUCACCUAGGCGACGAUCCCUAGCUGGUCUGAGAGGAUGACCAGCCACACUGGAACUGAGACACGGUCCAGACUCCUACGGGAGGCAGCAGUGGGGAAUAUUGCACAAUGG
Molecule: ribosomal RNA, 375 nt
Filed under: Klebsiella variicola
Lineage: Bacteria; Pseudomonadati; Pseudomonadota; Gammaproteobacteria; Enterobacterales; Enterobacteriaceae
Also listed under: 1 other name
Description: bacterial SSU rRNA
Rfam family: Bacterial small subunit ribosomal RNA
Source: RNAcentral